GAUGAACGCUGGCGGCGUGCUUAACACAUGCAAGUCGAACGAAGCACUUAAGAUUGAUUCUUCGGAUGACGUCUUUUGUGACUUAGUGGCGGACGGGUGAGUAACGCGUGGGUCACCUGCCUCACACAGGGGGAUAACAGUUAGAAAUGACUGCUAAUACCGCAUAACCCGAUAGGAUCGCAUGAUCCAGACGGAAAAGAUUUAUCGGUGUGAGAUGGACCCGCGUCUGAUUAGCUAGUUGGUGAGGUAACGGCCCACCAAGGCGACGAUCAGUAGCCGGCCUGAGAGGGUGAACGGCCACAUUGGGACUGAGACACGGCCCAAACUCCUACGGGAGGCAGCAGUGGGGAAUAUUGCACAAUGGGGGAAACCCUGAUGCAGCGACGCCGCGUGAGUGAAGAAGUAUUUCGGUAUGUAAAGCUCUAUCAGCAGGGAAGAAAAUGACGGUACCUGACUAAGAAGCCCCGGCUAACUACGUG
RNAcentral lists this ribosomal RNA (479 nucleotides) under uncultured bacterium. Its description in RNAcentral is "partial 16S ribosomal RNA". It matches the Rfam family "Bacterial small subunit ribosomal RNA", at positions 28 to 507 of the family's 1533-position model. The record is from RNAcentral.